GGUUAAGCGACUAAGCGUACACGGUGGAUGCCCUGGCAGUCAGAGGCGAUGAAGGACGUGCUAAUCUGCGAUAAGCGUCGGUAAGGUGAUAUGAACCGUUAUAACCGGCGAUUUCCGAAUGGGGAAACCCAGUGUGUUUCGACACACUAUCAUUAACUGAAUCCAUAGGUUAAUGAGGCGAACCGGGGGAACUGAAACAUCUAAGUACCCCGAGGAAAAGAAAUCAACCGAGAUUCCCCCAGUAGCGGCGAGCGAACGGGGAGCAGCCCAGAGCCUGAAUCAGUGUGUGUGUUAGUGGAAGCGUCUGGAAAGGCGCGCGAUACAGGGUGACAGCCCCGUACACAAAAAUGCACAUAUUGUGAGCUCGAUGAGUAGGGCGGGACACGUGGUAUCCUGUCUGAAUAUGGGGGGACCAUCCUCCAAGGCUAAAUACUCCUGACUGACCGAUAGUGAACCAGUACCGUGAGGGAAAGGCGAAAAGAACCCCGGCGAGGGGAGUGAAAAAGAACCUGAAACCGUGUACGUACAAGCAGUGGGAGCCUCUUUUAUGGGGUGACUGCGUACCUUUUGUAUAAUGGGUCAGCGACUUAUAUUCUGUAGCAAGGUUAACCGAAUAGGGGAGCCGAAGGGAAACCGAGUCUUAACUGGGCGUUAAGUUGCAGGGUAUAGACCCGAAACCCGGUGAUCUAGCCAUGGGCAGGUUGAAGGUUGGGUAACACUAACUGGAGGACCGAACCGACUAAUGUUGAAAAAUUAGCGGAUGACUUGUGGCUGGGGGUGAAAGGCCAAUCAAACCGGGAGAUAGCUGGUUCUCCCCGAAAGCUAUUUAGGUAGCGCCUCGUGAAUUCAUCUCCGGGGGUAGAGCACUGUUUCGGCAAGGGGGUCAUCCCGACUUACCAACCCGAUGCAAACUGCGAAUACCGGAGAAUGUUAUCACGGGAGACACACGGCGGGUGCUAACGUCCGUCGUGAAGAGGGAAACAACCCAGACCGCCAGCUAAGGUCCCAAAGUCAUGGUUAAGUGGGAAACGAUGUGGGAAGGCCCAGACAGCCAGGAUGUUGGCUUAGAAGCAGCCAUCAUUUAAAGAAAGCGUAAUAGCUCACUGGUCGAGUCGGCCUGCGCGGAAGAUGUAACGGGGCUAAACCAUGCACCGAAGCUGCGGCAGCGACACUAUGUGUUGUUGGGUAGGGGAGCGUUCUGUAAGCCUGUGAAGGUGUACUGUGAGGUAUGCUGGAGGUAUCAGAAGUGCGAAUGCUGACAUAAGUAACGAUAAAGCGGGUGAAAAGCCCGCUCGCCGGAAGACCAAGGGUUCCUGUCCAACGUUAAUCGGGGCAGGGUGAGUCGACCCCUAAGGCGAGGCCGAAAGGCGUAGUCGAUGGGAAACAGGUUAAUAUUCCUGUACUUGGUGUUACUGCGAAGGGGGGACGGAGAAGGCUAUGUUGGCCGGGCGACGGUUGUCCCGGUUUAAGCGUGUAGGCUGGUUUUCCAGGCAAAUCCGGAAAAUCAAGGCUGAGGCGUGAUGACGAGGCACUACGGUGCUGAAGCAACAAAUGCCCUGCUUCCAGGAAAAGCCUCUAAGCAUCAGGUAACAUCAAAUCGUACCCCAAACCGACACAGGUGGUCAGGUAGAGAAUACCAAGGCGCUUGAGAGAACUCGGGUGAAGGAACUAGGCAAAAUGGUGCCGUAACUUCGGGAGAAGGCACGCUGAUAUGUAGGUGAAGCGACUUGCUCGUGGAGCUGAAAUCAGUCGAAGAUACCAGCUGGCUGCAACUGUUUAUUAAAAACACAGCACUGUGCAAACACGAAAGUGGACGUAUACGGUGUGACGCCUGCCCGGUGCCGGAAGGUUAAUUGAUGGGGUCAGCGCAAGCGAAGCUCUUGAUCGAAGCCCCGGUAAACGGCGGCCGUAACUAUAACGGUCCUAAGGUAGCGAAAUUCCUUGUCGGGUAAGUUCCGACCUGCACGAAUGGCGUAAUGAUGGCCAGGCUGUCUCCACCCGAGACUCAGUGAAAUUGAACUCGCUGUGAAGAUGCAGUGUACCCGCGGCAAGACGGAAAGACCCCGUGAACCUUUACUAUAGCUUGACACUGAACAUUGAGCCUUGAUGUGUAGGAUAGGUGGGAGGCUUUGAAGUGUGGACGCCAGUCUGCAUGGAGCCGACCUUGAAAUACCACCCUUUAAUGUUUGAUGUUCUAACGUUGACCCGUGAUCCGGGUUGCGGACAGUGUCUGGUGGGUAGUUUGACUGGGGCGGUCUCCUCCUAAAGAGUAGCGGAGGAGCACGAAGGUUGGCUAAUCCUGGUCGGACAUCAGGAGGUUAGUGCAAUGGCAUAAGCCAGCUUGACUGCGAGCGUGACGGCGCGAGCAGGUGCGAAAGCAGGUCAUAGUGAUCCGGUGGUUCUGAAUGGAAGGGCCAUCGCUCAACGGAUAAAAGGUACUCCGGGGAUAACAGGCUGAUACCGCCCAAGAGUUCAUAUCGACGGCGGUGUUUGGCACCUCGAUGUCGGCUCAUCACAUCCUGGGGCUGAAGUAGGUCCCAAGGGUAUGGCUGUUCGCCAUUUAAAGUGGUACGCGAGCUGGGUUUAGAACGUCGUGAGACAGUUCGGUCCCUAUCUGCCGUGGGCGCUGGAGAACUGAGGGGGCUGCUCCUAGUACGAGAGGACCGGAGUGGACGCAUCACUGGUGUUCGGGUUGUCAUGCCAAUGGCACUGCCCGGUAGCUAAAUGCGGAAGAGAUAAGUGCUGAAAGCAUCUAAGCACGAAACUUGCCCCGAGAUGAGUUCUCCCUGACUCCUUGAGAGUCCUGAAGGAACGUUGAAGACGACGACGUUGAUAGGCCGGGUGUGUAAGCGCAGCGAUGCGUUGAGCUAACCGGUACUAAUGAACCGUGAGGCUUAACCUU
Molecule: ribosomal RNA, 2902 nt
Filed under: Escherichia coli
Lineage: Bacteria; Pseudomonadati; Pseudomonadota; Gammaproteobacteria; Enterobacterales; Enterobacteriaceae
Description: 23S ribosomal RNA
Rfam family: Bacterial large subunit ribosomal RNA
Source: RNAcentral